RNAcentral lists this ribosomal RNA (119 nucleotides) under Pteropus alecto (black flying fox). The record is from RNAcentral. Lineage: Eukaryota; Metazoa; Chordata; Mammalia; Chiroptera; Pteropodidae.
GUCUACGGCCAUGCCACCCUGAACAAGCCUGAUCUCGUCUAAUCUUGGAAGCUAAGUAGGGUCGGGACUGAGUAGUACUUGAAUAGGAGACCACCUAGGAAGACCAAGUGCUGUAGGCG